CGUUGACGUUAGGCGCUGCCGGCUCGGGAGGAGGCGCCAUCUUUUGCUGUGAAGCCACGGGGGUUUGGGCUACUGCGAGUUAAAGCGGUAUCGUUUAGAAAGAUCUGGAACGUUCCGUUAUACAAUUGCAUUUGGCAUGAAAGUAUUAGCGACGGCCUGUUACAGUAGUAUUAAAAACCCGGUUCAGCGUGACGUGCCUUCUUGAUGACAUUCUUUCACUUUAUGCGGUGCUGUGUGUUGUGGAGCUGCUGAUUUUUUUUAACCGGCUCGGGGCUCCAGCCCAGCCCUGCCCGGCCCGGCAACAAGAGAAUUUGUUUGGGGUAAAAAAAAAAGGUGUCGCUCCCGGUGGAAAGGAAUCCUGCGUCUAUUCCCCGACGGCUGUUUACUUCCCCAUCUCUGCUCCUCGGUCUGACAGGAAACGCUGCCGACUGCACAUCCUCCCACCGAGGGCCGUCAGUUUGAAGCAAACGGAUGUAUGACACCAUGUCCACAAUGGUGUAUUUAAAAGAAGAUAAACUGGAAAAGCUCUCGCAGGAGGAGAUUAUUGGCAAAACAAAGCAAGUAAUCCAGGGACUUGAAGCCUUAAAAAAUGAGCACAACUCUAUUUUACAUAGCCUGCUGGAAACCCUGAAAUGCCUGAAAAAAGAUGAUGAGAUGAACUUGGUUGAAGAGAAAUCCAAUAUGAUUCGCAAGUCACUGGAAAUGUUAGAACUUGGACUCAGUGAAGCACAGGUGAUGAUGGCAUUAUCUAGUCACUUAAGUGCAGUGGAAUCAGAAAAACAGAAAUUACGUGCGCAGGUGCGUCGGUUAUGUCAGGAAAACCAGUGGCUACGAGAUGAGCUGGCGAACACACAACAAAAAUUGCAAAAGAGUGAGCAGAGUGUAGCUCAAUUGGAAGAGGAAAAGAAACAUUUAGAAUUUAUGAAUCAGCUCAAAAAAUAUGAUGAAGACCUUUCACCACUGGAGGACAAGGAUACUGAUUCAUCCAAAGAGCCAUUGGAUGACCUUUUCCCAAAUGAAGAUGAUGAACCAGGACAAGGAAUUCAACAGCAACAUAGCAGUGCAGCUGCUGCAGCACAGCAGGGUGGCUACGAGAUCCCAGCCAGGCUAAGGACCCUACAUAACUUAGUCAUACAGUAUGCAUCCCAGGGCAGGUAUGAAGUAGCCGUACCACUUUGUAAACAGGCUCUUGAAGAUUUGGAGAAAACAUCAGGGCAUGAUCAUCCUGACGUUGCUACUAUGCUCAACAUUCUUGCUUUGGUGUACAGGGACCAGAACAAGUACAAAGAGGCAGCAAACCUGCUUCAUGAUGCCUUAGCCAUUCGUGAGAAGACCUUGGGUAAAGAUCAUCCUGCGGUGGCAGCUACAUUAAAUAACCUUGCAGUACUUCAUGGAAAAAGGGGAAAAUAUAGAGAGGCUGAGCCCAUGUGUAAGAGAGCACUGGAAAUCCGUGAAAAGGUAUUGGGUAGGGAUCAUCCUGAUGUGGCAAAACAGCUAAAUAAUUUAGCACUAUUGUGUCAGAACCAAGGAAAGUAUGAAGAAGUCGAAUAUUACUAUGAGCGUGCAUUGGAGAUUUACCAAACCAAACUUGGACCUGACGAUCCAAAUGUGGCAAAGACAAAAAACAACUUGGCUUCUUGCUACUUAAAGCAAGGCAAGUUCAAACAAGCAGAAACAUUAUACAAAGAGAUUCUCACUCGCGCUCAUGAGAGGGAGUUUGGUUGUGUGGAUGAUGAAAAUAAGCCUAUUUGGAUGCAUGCUGAAGAAAGAGAGGAACAAUGCAAGGGAAAACCAAAAGAUGGGACCACAUUUGGCGAGUAUGGAGGCUGGCACAAGGCAUGUAAAGUUGACAGUCCGACAGUGACAACAACAUUGAAGAACCUUGGAGCACUUUAUAGACGUCAGGGCAAGUUUGAAGCAGCCGAAACACUGGAAGAAGCAGCUCUGAGAUCCCGUAAACAAGGUCUUGAUAAUAUCCAUAAACAAAGAGUAGCUGAAGUACUUAAUGAUCCUGAAAGCAUCGAAAAAAGAAGAAGUCGUGAAAGCCUAAAUGCUGAUGUGGUAAAAUAUGAAAGUGGCCCUGAUGGUGGCGAGGAAGUGAGUAUGGGCGUAGAGUGGAAUGGGGAUGGAACUGGAUCUCUGAAACGUAGUGGCUCCUUCAGCAAACUUCGUGCCUCCAUCAGACGCAGUAGUGAAAAGCUAGUCAGAAAGCUAAAAGGUGGAAGUCCACGAGAUAAUGAGCCAAAGAAUUCUGGAUUGAAGCCCAGAGUAGCCUGCCAAUCAAACUGGCUUGCCUCAGUUGGAUCAUGGGAUGUUAAUGGUUUAUGGCUCUGACUCUGUUGCUGUCUCAGGGAAAACUUGAAAUACUUUGAAACAAGAAAGUGUUGGCAAGUUGACCUGAGAAGUUGACCUGUGGGCCUUCAUAAAAAUUCUCUUACGCAACUGACUGGCUUUCUAAGCCACGAAAAGUCAGCUACAUUGGUAUGUCACUGGAGUCAUGUAUAGACCAGGAUAUGAAUGAUAAAUUUUCUUCCCUAAAAGCAACGAAAUAAUUGUCUGACAGAAUCCAGAAGUCUGAGUGUCAGCCAUGAUGACCUGACGCACUGUGGAUCAAAAAUUGGCAUAAACUAGACCCUCCAUGUGGAAGAAACAAAAGAUCCUCAUUGCUACAAUGUCUUAUCACUUCUUUUCAAAAUUGAGGUCUUGGAAUAUUAUCCUGUACAAAUGACUUACAGUAAGAUUAUGAUAUUGUAUCAGACCACAAAAUGUCUCUUUCUAUAUUGUGAAUUCUAUAUGUUUCAUUGAUACAAUAUGAUUCAAUGCCAAUAGCAUCAUGGAAAAUUUGUUUUAAAGAGCAAAAUAAAGAAUGCGACAGCUGAGCUGGUGUUAGCUAUGUGGGUAGAAACUACUUUUGUAAGAUCUUUUAGUUAACUUGUACAGCUGAGAUUAUUCUUGCUUGUUAUUUUAAAAUAGAGUCUCAUGUAAACCACUUUUAUCAGCUAUAUUCAAUGAAGGCCACUUUACCUUUUGGCAUCUCAUGUGGCUUACACAUGCCAGAUGUCCAAAUAUUUGUCAUUACAUAAUUGAGUAGCCCAGUAUACCAGAUUUUGUAUUUGUGAGGUUAACAGAUCAUUAAUAAACUAUUAUUAUCCAGAAGAGGAUUAUUUGAAGUACUUGUACAACCUCAAUAUUCUCUGAUAAUACAUGGUUGACUAUACUAUGAACUUGCACUAUGUAAUCCCUAGAAUCAGAUAGAAAUAAUGCUGCUAAUGUGUGUGGAGGUCACUUUUAUUACAAGAUUGCUUUUUAUAAUACCUCAAUCGGCUGUCCGACAUAAGAACGUUACAGAACCACAAUUGAAUGACAAAGCAUACCAAACUUAGUAUUCUGGUUAGUGAAUAAGAUUCAGAUUGAGAAUUGCAGAACAGUUAUGUUUGAAUGCUACUUGGACAAAAAAAAAUAGCGCAGAAUUGAAUAAAACUGGACCUUAUAUAGUUCUUAGCUAAAUGGCAUGCUGUUAAAAGAACAAAACAUGAUACAUAUUUGAAAUUACUGAUGUAUGUACAGGCAUGUAAAUUUGGUGGUGGUCAGUGAAACUGCAGGAAAUGAUUACACAAACAUUUUUAAGUUUGCAAAUUGAGGGUCUUUUUAGAUAACUUCAUCCAUCAUUGCCUCAUUAUCUUGCACUUAUGGACAUAUUUAGCCUGUCUCGUGUGUAAUCAUUUGAUGUUCUGUUUAGGCAGUACCUGGAGUACUACUUGUCUGCUUACAAAGUUAUAGCGUGUUUCAUCUGUUUUUACUUUUAUAUUUGUAUAUUAACAGAAAAUGUAUUUGCACAUAUUAAAAAUGAUAAAAAGUAGGAUUGCAAUUGAAGAUUUAAAUCAUGACAGUUUUGAAAAAUAGAAAAGCCACAGUAGUCAAUAGGUAUGUAGAUUCUCAAUGCCAUUAAAAGGUUUACAUGUGGUUCUACAAACACUUGUGAAUUUUUAAUAUAACAGACUGCAGCAACUGUUAAAGAUGUCACAAGUUGAAUUCUGACUACAUUAGUUACUAGAUUCUGUGCAAUAUAGCAGAAAAAUGUAAGAGAUGUUGGUUAAGGCUACUAAAAUUAAAAUCAGUUGUAGUUGCAUAUGCGUGUUAAAAAACUGCAGAUUUACACAUUUAUUUAACAAAGCCUCUAAUCCAGAAAUUAAAUCAGUGCCACCUCAAGUUAAUAUACUAAAAUUGGAUUUACAUGACUGCUGUGAUCUUAAUACAAGACCAUUUGAGGACAAUGAUUUCUGCAGGUAGUGAAUUUUUUAGUGUCAGAAGAGAGAUUGUUUAAUAAGUUUAGCUGAUGAGUUUGGAUCCAGUUAACAGACGUUUAGUUGUGUAUUGCACUUUCACUAGGAAUAGCCUGUGUAGCCAUGACAUUGCAUGUAAUGUUUUAACUCACCUGUAAAAGUUCAAAAUGCUACCAGUAAGCAAGUAUGAAUAUACUGUAUUAUUGUCAUGAUUUUUCAUAGGACUGAAGACUUGUGCAUUGGUAUGUUGGAUAUAUUUGACCUAUUUUACAAUAUUUAUGUUCAAAACGUAUGAAAUUUACAUUUGUUGUGAAAUAACUAGUAAGAAAUAAAAGCAAUUUUUAAAAAUC
Carcharodon carcharias (great white shark) is the source of this 4633-nucleotide RNA transcript. It is a transcript of the gene named kinesin light chain 1a, with no coding region annotated. NCBI's taxonomy places the organism in Eukaryota, Metazoa, Chordata, Chondrichthyes, Lamniformes, Lamnidae. The transcript is spliced from 18 exons. The record is from RefSeq and is a predicted model, not a curated record.